UUCGUGCGUUCUCUUAACCAGCAAACCCUGCCUGUGGAGCCCAGGGGAUUAUUAUACAAACAGCCGCUGUAACAAUGGUCUGACCUAGAAUUGUUUGAGAAUCAAGUGAGAGGAUGUCAAGGAAGCAGGAUGUCUGGCCGCCUGCUCUGAGAACUGGGCCUGGAAGAGGGUGGCUAGGGCUGUGGGGGACAGCAGAGGGAGCGGCUGGGCUGACACUGCAGGGACGGGAGGACAGCCAGCCUUGAGGGGUCAAAGAGGCCUCUGUGAGGAUGCGCCUGGGGAGGUACCCCCAUCCACCCUGGCCUCAGUCUCCCCAGUGACAGCAGACACGGGGCAUUCCUUUGCUGCGGUCGUCUGAAACUAGACAGGGUCUCAUCCCAGGCUGGCCUCAGACUCAUAGCAGUCCUCCUUCCUCAGCCUCCUAAAUCCUGGGAUUAUAGAUUUGAGCCAACAUGUCCGGUCCUGAGUUCAACUUUGGCAAGCCUCUGCCAAGCCUUCAGUGUGGCCACCACAAUGCAACACCUGGACAUCGGGGCCAGGUGGGCGAGCACUGGACUGCUAGACUUUUCAACCUUUUCUAGGAUCAGCCAAGCUCAGCUCUUCUCAGGGUGGGAACUCUGCCUUUGCUCUCCCCAGCCAUGAAACUCUUCCCCAGGACUGACCCUCGGAGCAACUGGAAAGAAAAGAGAGAAAAUCAAGACCAGAGAGAUGGCUCAGUUGGGAAAGUGCUUGUUGGAACAGACAUGCAUAUCUGAUUUCAAUCCCCGGAACCCUUGUAAAGAAAAGCUCAUGUAUAGUGUGUGUCUAUAAUCCUGGCACUGGGUAGGUGGAGACAGGUCGAUCCCGGUGGCUCAAUGUUAGCCCAGCCUAAACAACAUGCCUCAGGUCCCCGUGGGAGACCCCAUCUCAAAACACAAGAGAAACUGAUCCUAAGGAACAACACCCAAAACUGA
Molecule: long non-coding RNA, 953 nt
Organism: Nannospalax galili (Upper Galilee mountains blind mole rat)
Lineage: Eukaryota; Metazoa; Chordata; Mammalia; Rodentia; Spalacidae
Exons: 3
Source: RefSeq, a predicted model, not a curated record